AAUUUGGAGCUCGAUUCUUAGGACCUUUCCCCAUUGUUACCAAGAUCUCUCCUGUGGCAUUUAGAUUGUGGUUACCUUCCACUCUGAAGGUUCAUCCGGUGUUUCAUCGAUCUUUACUAAAACUGGACACGUCAUCUAACCGGUCCUCAGUAGUUGCGGAGGUCUCGGAUCCCACAUUAAUUCCGGUGGGAGGGGCCUUUGCGGGGAGGGAUAGUGUUGUGACUGCGCCUUCGGGGAUUAUGGUUGAUGGGAUGGAAUUCGAAGAGGAAGAAAAAACCCUCGUGAUGAGGGUUCACUGGAGGAGUUGCGCAGGAAGCGACUUAGAGAGCUAUAUGGGGGAUCUUCUGAGGAAGAUUCAGAUGGGGAGAUGGAUGCUGAGGAACAGGUGGUGGCUGGGGAAGCAGGCACUGAAUGGGCACAGCCACCGGAGAUGUCUGGGGAUUUGGGGUCUAUGGAUACUUCUGAACCUGGGGUUUCUGCAGGAGCUGAUCCCAAUUGGGAUGCUUGGAGAAGGGAGGAUGGUUCUUUAAGUGUUCAUGGGGCUAAGUGUGGGCAGGAUGAUUGGGACUACGACGAAUUGCUAGGUACUCCAGAUCCACGAGCUCUAGCUGUGUGGAGCUCAGACUCUGAGUAGAUUUGGGACACCUGGUGUUUGGGUGUGAGUGUUUGGUCACCCAGGAGGAAGGGGAAUAAAAUGGGAAUGUUUGGCCACUGCACUUUGCGUGUGGCAAGGUGUUGCUGAGGCCCCAUUGGGAUCUCUGUGUUUCCAUGAAGACUGGACUUCGACUAUGAUUUGAAUCUGUUGUUAUCACCUAGCUUGGCUCUCGCUGUGUCUUAUCGUGGACCUGUUUUGGAUGACUGCACCCUCUUCAGACCUUGGAUCGGAAUUUGACCUUACUACUGCCUUCGCCCUGUGAUUGAUGACUACUAUCGGCUUUUGACUCCUGGCUUGCUCUUUGGACACCGCUGUUAUCUCCUGACCUGACCUUGGAAUCCCGGACGACGUCUUUUCACCAUCCUUUUGGAGCCUUCGGCUUUAUCCACAUUGUGGAAGCAGUCUACUGCAUUCUUAGUUUGUUUGUUUGUUUCCUGACCAAUUUGGUGUUUUCUUUUGGGAACUGUUCCUUUGAAAACUACAGAGCCGGCUGGCAGGGCUUGGACUCAGAAAGUGCAGUUUGCACUAAGUUUGUUUAGCUUUGUUUUUACCUGCUUGUGUUGCUGAAUUAUAUUUUUGUUUGAACUGCUCUUGAAGCACUGAUAGUGAAGUGUUUCAAGGUUUUUUCUGUGUUAACAUUACUUUUUGGCUUAUCUGCUGAAUAAACUCUAUUUUUGUUCGCUAAUUGGCGUCUGACUCUUGACAGUUGCAGAGCUUUAGUUAGGUCCUAAUUUUAUGUCUACUAGUUCUGAGGAAUGCUGGAGAAAAAGCUCUGCAGAAUCUGUUUCAGGAGGAUAGGCUGUAAAAUGGAUCACCCCUUUAUCUUUGUAUUCUAUGAGCUCAUGUUAUCUCUUUCUCUAAUAUAUCCAAUGUUAAAGGCUUGGGAAAACUGAACACUAACCCUCCCCACUCAAUGACAUGGGGAAGAACGCUUCUAUUGUAAAUGCAUGCAUAUAUGGUGUAAUUUUUUGCGUACUGCAUAUUGAUAUUAAGUGCUGCAUUUCAAAAUUUUUUUUACUAUAACUGAGUUUGUUGAGCUAUGCUUUUUUGUAACCUAUGAUUAUUUUGAACUUUCUUUGCCCAUUAUAUGAUAUAUUGCUUACUAUUCAUACAGCCAUGAACCCCUUUACUAUCCAGUCUUAUACAAACUUACCCAGAAAACGCCACUGCCAUAGGUUACUUUUUAGAAAGUAUAUGCUUACUGGAGUUGGCAGAUUGUAAUUUUGUCAAUGCCUAUUGUUUCCAAAUGCCGGCUGAGAUCUUUUGGCACGGCACCCAAUGUGCCAAUCACCACCGGGACCACCUGCACUGGUUUCUGCCAGAGUCUUUGAAGUUCAGUCUUGAGGUCCUGAUAGUGGCUGAGUUUUUCCUGUUGUCUUUCGUCAAUGCAACUGUCAUCUGGGAUGGCAACAUCAAUGAUCCAAACCUUUUUCUUUUCCACAACUGUGAUGUCUGGUGUGUUGUGUUCCAGAACUUUGUCAGACUGGAUUCGGAAGUCCCACAGUAUCUUUGCGUGCUCAUUUUCCAAUACUUUUGCAGGUUUGUGAUCCCACCAGUUCUUUGCUGCUGGGAGGUGGUACUUGAGGCAUAAGUUCCAAUGAAUCACUUGGGCCACAUAGUUGUGCCUCUGUUUGUAGUCUGUCUGUGCGAUUUUCUUACAGCAGCUGAGGAUAUGAUCAAUGGUUUCAUCGGUUUCCUUGCACAGUCUGCAUUUUGGGUCAUCAGCUGAUUUUUCGAUCUUGGCCUUAAUUGCAUUUGUUCUGAUGGCUUGCUCCUGGGCUGUAAGGAUCAGGCCUUCUGUCUCCUUCUUUAGUGUCUCAUUUGUGAGCCAUAGCCAGGUCUUCUCCUUAUCAGCUUUUCCUUCAAUUUUGUCAAGCAACUUUCCAUGCAAUAUUUUGUUGUGCCAGCUGUCAGCUCUAGUUUGUAGUGCGGUUUUCUCGUACUGUUUAUUAUUAUACAACUGAAUAGUAACCAGAGGCGAAAUCUGUAUAAAUAUAACUCUUGUCUUCAUGAGUCAUAUGUUUUGCCAUUUUGAACAUUUCCUGUCAGAUAAAUUUGUGGUUUCUGGAUCGA
Long non-coding RNA from Anolis carolinensis (green anole), 2728 nucleotides. RefSeq lists it as uncharacterized. Lineage: Eukaryota; Metazoa; Chordata; Lepidosauria; Squamata; Anolidae. The transcript has 2 exons. The record is from RefSeq and is a predicted model, not a curated record.